RNAcentral lists this ribosomal RNA (447 nucleotides) under uncultured bacterium. Its description in RNAcentral is "bacterial SSU rRNA". It matches the Rfam family "Bacterial small subunit ribosomal RNA", at positions 355 to 825 of the family's 1533-position model. The record is from RNAcentral.
UGGGGAAUUUUGGACAAUGGGGGCAACCCUGAUCCAGCCAUGCCGCGUGCGGGAAGAAGGCCUUCGGGUUGUAAACCGCUUUUGUCAGGGAGGAAUAAAUGACGGUACUAUUUAUAAGGUCCGGCUAACUACGUGCCAGCAGCCGCGGUAAUACGUAGGGACCAAGCGUUGUUCGGAUUUACUGGGCGUAAAGGGCGCGUAGGCGGCAUGACAAGUCACUUGUGAAAUCUCUGGGCUUAACCCAGAACGGCCAAGUGAUACUGUCGCGCUAGAGUGCAGAAGGGGCAAUCGGAAUUCUUGGUGUAGCGGUGAAAUGCGUAGAUAUCAAGAGGAACACCUGAGGUGAAGACGGGUUGCUGGGCUGACACUGACGCUGAGGCGCGAAAGCCAGGGGAGCAAACGGGAUUAGAUACCCGUGUAGUCCCUGAGCGGGCUGGCAAGGCGCAU